RNAcentral lists this ribosomal RNA (439 nucleotides) under uncultured bacterium. RNAcentral describes it as "partial 16S ribosomal RNA". It matches the Rfam family "Bacterial small subunit ribosomal RNA", at positions 338 to 795 of the family's 1533-position model. The record is from RNAcentral.
CCUACGGGUGGCAGCAGUGGGGAAUAUUGCACAAUGGGGGAAACCCUGAUGCAGCGACGCCGCGUGAAGGAAGAAGGAUUUCGGUAUGUAAACUUCUAUCAGCAGGGAAGUAAAUUACGGUACCUGACUAAGAAGCCCCGGCUAACUACGUGCCAGCAGCCGCGGUAAUACGUAGGGGCAAGCGUUAUCCGGAUUUACUGGGGGUAAAGGGAGCGUAGGCGGCGAUGCAAGUCAGAAGUGAAAGCCCGGGGCUCAACUCCGGGACUGCUUUUGAAACUGUGUUGCUAGAGUGCAGGAGAGGUAAGUGGAAUUCCUAGUGUAGCGGUGAAAUGCGUAGAUAUUAGGAGGAACACCAGUGGCGAAGGCGGCUUACUGGACUGUAAAUGACGCUGAGGCUCGAAAGCGUGGGGAGCAAACAGGAUUAGAUACCCCAGUAGUC